Molecule: ribosomal RNA, 228 nt
Filed under: uncultured bacterium
Lineage: Bacteria
Description: partial 16S ribosomal RNA
Rfam family: Bacterial small subunit ribosomal RNA
Source: RNAcentral
CGGGGUGAGUAAUGUCUGGGAAACUGCCUGAUGAGGGGGAGUAACUACUGGAAACGGUAGCUAAUACCGCAUAACGUCGCAAGACCAAAUGGGGGACCUUCGGGCCUCAUGCCAUAAGAUGUGCCCAGAUGGGAUUAGCUAGUAGGUGGGGUAACGGCUCACCUAGGCGACGAUCCCUAGCUGGUCUGAGAGGAUGACCAGCCACACUGGAACUGAGACACGGUCCAG